AUAUCGUAUAAUUCAGUUUCUCUGAAGUACUCUGAUCACAACUCACAUGAAGCUUCGCAGCAUGGAACAAUUUACUCAACACUUUCACUGAUGAAGAGGAACUGCUCCUCCAAGGUGUGUCCGGUGUUGUUAAAGAUCAAGAAUAAAUUCCACGGGAUCAGUUUUUUCUUACAAAAUUAACUAGCUGGGUUUCAGUUCUAACAGCCUUGUACUGUCCCAAAUGGAUCCAUGUCCACGAUAUUUCUUGCUCUCAAGCUAAUCCCACUUUGAUUGUCAAUCCAAGGAAAUUGACCCUCCAUAAAUUGGCUAUGACCAUUGGCAGUAAAAAAAUAAAUCCAUAUAUGUGUCAUUACCACUAAUUUCCAAUCUUCUAAUCUUUUUAAAUCUGAAAAAAAAAUCGCAACAUGAGAUUGAAAACUACCAGCAAACAAAGACAGGAGAGUAACAGCAAAACCCAGACCAAAGCUACAGUUACAGGCAACAAAAAAGAAAGUUAAGACAGUUUGGAGAGAGAUAAAAAUCUGUCUUAAAAAAAAAAAAGUUCAGAGAUCAAAGAAAGAAGAAAAAUGGUGUUUAGCAGCUUGAUUGUGUUAUCAGUAGCCCAUAAAUCAGCAGACGUAUGGCAACAAAUAGCAUGCAUGGGGUUACAAGAUCAAGUGAGCAGUCACCAGCUUCUUGAUCUCGUUUGCUGCUUCCCUCUUCAACAACUGGGCCGUUUUUCUCUUUACAUCUGGACUUUCCUGUGCUUGCCACCACCUGAUUCCUUUUUGUCUUCUUAUACUUAUCAAUCCACAUCAUCAGAUGAUGAUGACCAUCCUCAUCAUUCAUAUGCUCAUCAUCAUCAUGAUCGUGCCUCUUCCUCUUCGUCCUCUGCUGAAGUUGAAUACUUAUACUAUGACUCUGACUGAUCUACUCCAAUUUGUAUUAUCAUUUGUGCACGAUGUAGAAUUUAUCUUGAUAGAGGACUGGAAUAGAUGAUUGUACACACGUUUCAACUUCAUCUGCAACAUAAAAAAAGAGAGAGAGUUUCCAGCUGAGUAAGACAACUAAAGGGAUCUUGUUCAUGUUCAUCUUGUUUGUAUACCAGUCAGUGUUGACAGCGCUGAAUCGUUGUAAGUAGUUUAUUUAGUUUAUUUCUGAUUUUACGAAAUAUCAUAUCCCAUGGCUGUGUUAUAGCUAAGACUACAGGUCCUAUGCAAAAUAUAUGAUAGGCAACUACGUGUACAUAUUUAAGUUCUUGGGAAUCCUUGUUUCGUUCCUUUUGAAUAAUUCUCUACACGUAUGACCAUUACAAAAUUGCGAUCUUGGCCUUAUUUCAUUCGGGUUCUUUGGUGUAUCCUUAUUUAAUCUUGUUUCUAAUUAUGCAGGCGUGUCAAAUCUCAGAACUCUUUGGUUAUUGAUAUAAACACUGAUAGAAAUUCUGGUAUGAUCAUAGAUGAUGGGAUAGGAUUUCUAUUCAAGCAAUUGAAAUAAAUCAUGAAAGACUCUGCAUGAUUGCUUAUAGACUGAGUUGCUUUCAACUAGGUUGUUCUUGGAGAUUAAAUUACUACCAGCCUCACAAAAGAAUUGUGUUGCAAACAGACUUGUUAUAUUAUAUCUCACUUUCAUGUACCUUGUGAACAAGGAAAAACAGAAAAAAUCCCUCGGUGCAUGAAUCUUUUUGCAGCUGUCUGCUCUAUCUUGUGUGUAGACACAAGCGUGUCCUUUAUAGUGUUUUUGUGUACAUCAGUGGGUUUUCAUCUUGUUCUUUUGGCACCUAAUAAGACUAUGCCCCCCUUGUUAUCAUCCUGAAAUUUCUCAGUUGUGCAUUUGAUGGUGCAACGAUGCCAGCACCUACUUUUUAAGUGCUCUGUAACUAUGUUAAAUGGACUGCGAGAACUUACACGGGUGGCUAAUCUAUAAGUAAUUUAGCAAAGGUGUGUGUGCAGGCACACAUGCACUUGUGCGUGCAUAUCAAUCAGUAUUGAAGGAUUUGUGAAUUUUCUUGAGUUGCAGAUUGUGUUGUGCUGGCGGAGAAACAAGAGUUUUGCAGAUUCCCCACAUUAGAUGGAUGGCAGUGCACAACUAAGAGAAUUUUUUACUUUUUUCUAAUGGCUGGUGAAGUGCUUUGUUGGUAGAGUACUUUGAAAGCAUAUAUGCUAGAAUGCAUUAAAUAAUAUGAUUCUAUAUUUAUUAGCCAGUUUUCUACAAGCAAAUCAUUGUAGGAUUUCGAUAUGGUGGGUGAAACAUGAUUCUGACGAUGAUUUUGAGUAGAUGGCUCCAAGAUUUCAUUGGGAAAUUGGGAUUUUGAUGAGAAUUGUCAAGCAGACAUCUUGUUUAGAACUGCAAUUCUUCCCACUCUUGGAUUGUUCAGACCAAAGGAAUGCUGUUGUUUUGGGUUUUACAUGAAUUUGGUGUUGUAUAAGCUUCAUUUUAUUGUUCAUAACAGUUUAUGAUUAAACCAUGCUACAAACUGGAUUCUCUCGUUUGAAUUCAUGAACAGUUUGCAAGUGCAGUUAAAGCAA
This is a long non-coding RNA of Populus euphratica (Euphrates poplar), 2504 nucleotides long. RefSeq lists it as uncharacterized. Lineage: Eukaryota; Viridiplantae; Streptophyta; Magnoliopsida; Malpighiales; Salicaceae. The transcript has 2 exons. The record is from RefSeq and is a predicted model, not a curated record.